AGAGUGUAUCAUGACAAGGACAAAGAUUGUCUUGUGGAACAACUACUUCCAAUGCCUUAGAAUUCCUGCACACAAUCAAACCAAUCUGCUUAAAGACAAGCCUCUUGAGAUGUUGUCCACCAUAGUGUAUGUUAAUCAGGAACUCCAAGAAGAAAAUCCAUUUCCAUAACAGAGACAUUGAACAUACAGAUACAUACACAUGUGUACACCCCAUUCUGCUUUUGUUGUAGAGAUAUAAUUUUAGGACAAACUUUUGCUCUAUAGCGCUGUGCGUUUUUUAAUAUUAAUGUAUGUAUAUACGAGACUCUGAGUGAGAGUGUCUGCUAGGAGGUAAAGAGCUAUAGAUGGUUGAUAACUUUAAUUCUGCGUGCCAAGUUGUCCUAGAACUGUGUUUGAAAUAGCACCAUGAUAAGGUUUCAUGGCCAUAUAAUGGAUAAUUCUAAUUACCGUCAAUCAUAGCAAAGAAAGGCUCUUUCUCUUAGACAAUCUAUUUUGAACUUUUUAUGUUGAUGUGAGUUACUGUGCAAAGGAGCUUUUUCUGCUUAAUUGUCCACGAACACUGACUGUCUGAAAAAUGAGGUAUAUUUCUUUAUUUUUACAAAAUUAAACUCUACAUCUAGAUAUAACAA
This 629-nucleotide long non-coding RNA is filed under the name Rattus norvegicus (Norway rat). Its description in RNAcentral is "long non-coding RNA NONRATT011466". The record is from RNAcentral. Lineage: Eukaryota; Metazoa; Chordata; Mammalia; Rodentia; Muridae.